GAAGCUGGUGUCAAAAGCUUUUUUCCUGGCUCCCAUGGGAUGCUGUUACGAUUCCUGGCUUCUCGCCCUUUCUGCUUUUGUUCAUCCGCGCAGCCUCCACAUGCCAUAUUUACAAAGACUUGGAGUGACAAUUCACGGAGUUGGGUGCUCUCUGCGGUGCGAUCCAGCUUCUGUUGGUGCCACCAUACAUUGUGCUGUGUCAGAUGGUGGCAUGGAGGCAGCCAGGGCUCGAAUCCGGGACCUAUGCCUUUGGAAGCUCAAGCAAAUUCCCCAGGUGCUUAGGGGAUGGCUUCUGACAUUUAGCGAAGAGCUGAGUCAGGGUAAAAUAAUGGAAGCUUUGAAGGGAUGUUAACCACAUGCUAGGCAGCAUUCUAAAUCUUUAGAUUUAUCGGAUUAGUUGUCUAUUGCCCUGUAACUUAUUCUCCCAAAAUUUCAGUGACAAGUAUUCAACACUAUUACUUUCCUUUUUGUAUCUCAUACCAUUUUUGUGGGUAAGGUCCCUGAGAGCAGCUUGGGUGGUGGUUGUGGCUCAGGGUCUCUCAUAAGGUCGCAGACAAGCUUUCAGCUGAAGCUGCAUUAUCUGAAGGCUCAUCUGGGCCCAUUUCUAAGCUCCACCUUCCCAUGCUUGGCUCAUUUGUGCUGGUUGCUGGCAGGAACCUGCAGUUCCUUGCCAUGGAGACCCCAGAUGCUUGCCAUUUCAGAGUGCUGCUCAAGCAUCCUUAUGACAUAGCAGCUGGCUUCUCCUACAGUGCGCCCUCCAAGAGAACAAGCCAGAAGUUGCAAUGUCUUUUAUGACCUGGACUUGAAGUCACACUCUGUCAUGUUUGAAAAUCCUACUGGUAACACAGUUCAGCCUCAUCCAAUGUGGGAGGGGACUACACACACAAGGACAGAGAUACUAGGAGGUGAGGAUCACUAGAGCUAUUCUGGAGGCUGGCUUUCCAUGUAUUAACUCAUUUAAACCCUGAAAUGUGCCUGGAGAGGCUUAGUUAGAAGAGACUGAGGUGAAGAAGCUGGGGCUGUAUGUGGGAGAUCCAGAGUUCAGAGGUCCUAGAGGCAGCACUCCACACCAGCACGUGCAGGGUGUGUGUCGUGCCCACUGGUCCAGGGGCAGCGAUGUCUGCGGUCAAGGGUGGUUUGUGAAUUGUUCCUGGCUGUGUGGCUUCUGAGCUGAAAUCUUCAGCCCUGUUGGAGAUUUCGGGGGCUACCAAAUAUAAUUUGCUUGAAUAUAAUAGUUGAAGAGGGUUCUAUUAUCUGCAGUGAAGAUCUGCAAUGACUGUUACAAAUGGUCCCAAAUGCAGGGGACAUAUUAUUCUUGUAGGCUGAAUAUAGUGAGUAUGAAAGCCAUCAGCUUAAUGUAAUGGUCUGAAUGCCACAUCAUUUUAGGGUUUAUUAGCAUAAACAUAAUGUUUUACAAUAAAAGAGGUGAGAGUGUGUUCCUACUCUGUACUAGUCAGAAGACAGCAGGAAUAUUGUGCCUGGAGGCUAUUUUUUUAAAAAUGGGGACAGUGACAAAUUGGAGCAUGCCCAGAGGACAGAGGCCAAGAUGGUGGGGGAAACACAAACCAUAUGCCCUGAGCCUAGGGAUGUUUUCCCUGGAGAAAAGAAGACACUCAGGGGGCCAUGGAUGCUGUUUUCACAUAUGUGUGGAAUUCUCAUGGUGCAGAGGAUCAGAAAGAAUUAGAUUCAAAUCCUGGUCAGUUCCUCUUUGUGGCUCUGGACAAGGUCCCAAUUUCUCAAAGUCCUUUAUGAUAACACCUGGCAUAUGGCAAAUGAUUAGUAAGCAUGAGUCCCUUUCCUCUGUACCCUCAGUACCAAUAAGGGUGUAAGAAGCAGAUUUACACUUGGUAUGAAUAUGGAAUAUAGGCAGUGAGCCUUUAGAGAAAUCCAAGCACAGACUGGACAACCACUUGACUGCCCACCCUCAUGGAACCCUUCUGGAAGGCUGAAAUUCAAGGAACACAGAGGUUUGGCCCUUGCUGCCUUCUCUGACACUACCCCAGCCACCUUUAGGCCUUGGUCCCUGGCACUGCUUUUCUGAAAUGAACUUGAAACUCCGUGGACUUGGAGAGACCAGUGUCAGCUGUGAGGGUGAUGGACGGGGUUUGGCCACCUGCGGUUCCCCACCCCACACUGUGCCCUGUUAGUGGGGCACCUGGCAGGUUCCUUUGGGGGAUUUCCCUGCCUACAGAGUUCAGCCUGAGCUCCCUGGCUGAGCCUGCCAGGCUCUCGUGCACUGGGCCCUGCCUCCCUCACCUUCAUUUCUCCCCCUGCUCCACGCUCCUAAGCUACAGCAAAAUGGUGCCAGCCUCAGCUGCCACCACGCAUUCCUCCUCACUUAGAAAGGUGGGAACCUUUCUUUACUGGCUAAAUCUUCUUUCUUUGAGACCGGGCACAGGCGUCACUUCCAAGAAGGCCUUGGUCCCCUUCACUGUGUUCCUUUAGCGCCUGAGGUUGACUUUGCUCAGAUGUUGCCCACCCCAGGUGGUGUGGGAUGCUGCUUGCAAGAGGGGCCUCAGGGAUCAGACUGCUUGGGUUCAAGUCCCAGCUCUGUCAUUUACCAGCCAUGUGACACUGGGCAAAUUGCUUAACCUCCCUGGGCCUCAGCUUACUUGCCUAUGAAAUGGGGGUGACUGGGCUGCUGCCAGGACUAUGCGAGAUCACAUCUGAGGUCAGUAAAGCCCCUGGAACGUAGCAAGCACUAAGUUGACAUGACUAUUACCAUCAUUCAACAAAGCAUUUGUUAUAUGCCCAAUUGUGCUGCUAUCUUGGCUGAAUUGGGGAAGCACAAAGAACAAGAGAGAUGCAGUCUUGAUGCUCAGAGAAAUCUGCAAACAGAACCCUGAGAGACCUCAUGGCAACUGGAAUUCUGGUGGUAGGAAUAAUGGUUUGGGGUACUGCAGAGCCAGACCUGGAGAGGGGAGAGGCCCGAGGUAAGAUUUCUGCAUCCACACUGCUGGGAGAGAUCUCUGUAUUCCAUGAAAGGUUGGGACGCUUCCAGUCUAAAUGCAGACAUGUUCUUAUUUCAUCACAUUUUUGCUUCUUUGCAGGGUCAUUCAUACCAGCACACAAGCAUGCAGUGUUAUCUUCCAUCUUCAAAAACAAGAACAGAAACUCUCCCUUGAGGCCACACCCAUCUCUACACCAUUUCUCAGCUUCCUUUUCUAGAUUAUUUUCUCCAAAGAUUGACCUAUUCCCAGACUUUACCCUUCUCCCCCACAUACUCCUCCUUCCUCUCCCAUCACCCUUCAUCCCUCUAGACUAAUCUGACCUAGACCUCCGUGACCUCCACUUUGCCCAAACCACGGGAAAAUUUCCAUUCUCAUUGUACUUUGGCUUUGGGUUGUGACUUGACCAGGUGAUCGCUUCCCCAUUGCAUUAGUUUUCUAUGGCUACUGUAGCAAAUCGACAAACAUGUAGUGGCUUAAGACAGCACAAAUGUAUCAUUCUGCAGCUCUGGCGGUUAGGAGUGGGAGAGGGGUCUCAGGAGGCAGAGCUGCAGGCCGCAUUCCAAGAGCCCUGCUUCCACCUGUGCGCCCCCACCUCUGUUCUCCACACGGCAUCCAGAGAGAAACUUUCAGAACCGAACUAGGGCCCCCUUCCUCUUGCUCGAAUCCUCCAGUGGCAGCAGGGCUCAUCCCUUUGAAUAAACUGCAACAUCUCUGGCAUGCCCUCCAGUCCGUAUGAUGUCUGACCCCUGAUAUCAAUCCAAACUCUUCUCGCGCCCAUGACCCCCCCAUUUCCUGCACCCAACCCGCCCAGCCUACUCGCUGCCCCUCACACACCAUGUGUGUUACUGAUGCAAGGUCUUCACAAGGCUGUUCCCUCGCUUGGGAAGCUCCUCUCCCAGACACCUAUGUGGCCACUCAUUACAUUUAGGCCUCUGCUCAAAUGCCACCUCUUCUGAGAGGAAGUUUCUGCAUUGUUUUUCUUGUAUCAUAUACAUCUAAUUGUUUACUCGCUCUCUCUCCGAUUAGAAUACAAUCUCUGUGAGGGCAGAGAGUCUAUGCUCUUGCUCAAUUCUGGAUCUACAAAGAGUACAAACAGUUCCAGGCAUGUACAGUAGGCACCCCACAUAUGUUUGUUAUCUGAAUAAAUGAAGGAAUGAAUGAACAGACAGACUUGCCUUGGACGGGAGUGAGUUGGCCUGAGGCUCCCUGUCAAGGACACAAAGGAGUCAGAGAAGGAGGCAAGGCCUCUGGGGGAGACCGUGUCCACGGCAACAGAGGCUGGGGCCCGGCGGCUGUCUUGGGGGCAGGCCAGGGGAGGCGGGUGAGCUGGUGGAGCUUGUGGGGACACCAGGGGCACCAGAAAGUCAGUGCCCAGCCUGGCAUCCGGCUCAGACACUGAGACUCCGCCGCUUCCACCUCAUUGCCCUGGCCUUGGCAGACCCAGCAGAAGGGCUGCUGGCAGGGGCCUGGGUCUCAGCAGGCUGGCUUGGCACAUGCAGGACAACUCCCCAGCCUUCCACAAUCUUGCCCAGAGAGGCACCCAGAACCGUGAAAUCCUGGGUCAUCAGCCUAAAGGGAGCACGCCAGGUAGAGAGCGGCCCUGCAGCGGGACUGGAAGCGAGGGCACAAAACCCAUGCCACCUAGUGCGCUACUAGGAAUAGUGACCUCAGAGCAGCCAGCCUGCCUCUCCCUGGGUGCUGGGAGUGUCAGUUAGCUCACCUCGCCUAAUCCUCACAGCAACCCUCUGGGAAGGGGCCCAUGCAUCCACAGUUAAAAAUUGUGAGCUCAAGGGCAGAGAGGUGAAGGGGCUUGUCCAGAGUCACACAGUCAGUGCUGGAACUGGGACUCAGUAGCCCCUUGUCCUUCCGCUCCUCUUUGCAUCCUGCAUGUGAAUCCCUGCUGUGGUCAGACACACACCCCACCUGCACUUCCUGGGACUGCUUCUCACAGAAACCUUUCUUCCCCGUGCUGCGGGUUACACUGUGUGUCUUGUCCUUUGUACGUUCUUGAUUCUGGGCCAUUUGGGAAUCAUAUUUUAUUCCUGCUAUUUUGGUAAUGAAUACACAUCAUUAAUUCUUUUGACAAACAUCCACCGAGCCCCUGCUCUAUGCCAAGUGGGCAGUGAUGAAUACAACAACUCUAAUGCUUAGCAAGGAGCAUCUCCUCUGUGCCAGGCUCUGUUCUAUUGCCUUCAUGUAUAGACCCUUUCAGUUCUCACAGCUCCCAUCUGGGGUAGGAGAUGAUCCCAUUUCUGAGAUGAGGACACUGAGAUACCUGCUUAGUGAGUGGCAGAGUGGAGAUAGAAACCAAACCCAUCUGACUACAGAACUCUUAAUCACUGCUCUAUACCAAGUGAUAAGGUCUGAGGGAGAAGAAGGGACAUGGGCUGCAGGUGUGCAGGGGAGGGAGUAACACAUUUGAUUGGGUUCCUAUGUGAAGGGACAAUGAAGGAUGGAGGGAUUUCACCAGGUGGAGGAGGUAAGGACAUUCAAGAACAGAGGGACAAAUUCCAGACAAAGGCAGAGAAUUUCAAGUACUGAGUGGGUUCAACACGCAAUGGUUUCUAAGCUCCUUGAAGGCAAGAAAAUAGUUUUGUCUACCUUUGUGUUUAUCUGCUUCUCGAUAAAUAUUUAUUGAAUUUAAAAAAAUGGAAGAUUUCAUCUGGCUUAGCUCCUACCUUCUGAGUAAGAAAGAAAGAGCUGUGUAUUUGCUGAGGGCCUGCUAAGUACCAGCCCUUUCCCGUGUAUACGUCAGUGACCUUCGGGACAAGUCUGUGUGGGGAGCAUCGCCUCUGCUUUUCAGACAGGAGACUGAGAGCAAACAGGAAGUGCAGCUCCAUGCCUACCACUCACACCCAUCAGAGAUCAGAGCCCACUUCUUGUCCCCUUACCACAGUAAGUCCUCUGGAGCUGUUUCCACCUCUUGGGGUGAUGCCUGUGAAGCCAGUGUAGGGGCAUCAUUUUCUAUGACAUCAUUUCCUCUUUGCCCUUCGCACUUCCUCUCUCCUCCUCCCUGUGUCCCCCGCAACCCACUGAGGCCCUAUUCUCCUCAGAUCUAAUAAUCCCCUCCCUCUCAGAGUCAUGUGGGUGAUAGGACUUUCAAGGGGUGAGCAUUUUUUUUCCAAAACUAAAAAUUUAACUUUAUUAUUCCUUUCUUUAUUACAGAGCAUUCCAUGCUCACUGCUGAAAAAGUUAAGAGAUUCAGAAAAGCCACAUGACCACUGCAUGACUGGGACAAGCCUCAUGGGAAAUGAGCCUCAAUUUCUACAAAAUGUCAAAGAGGAAUCAAUUAUGUAUCCUGAGUGCAUAGUUUCUAUGUAUAGAUUUGUUCAUCACAGCAUGGCUUAUGCUCUUGAGAAAUUAGAAACUAACUGCAUGUCCAUCCAUAGGGGAUCACUUAAAUAAAUUUGGCAUAUCCAUACAAGGUCCACUAAAAAGUAUGAUGUCAAUCUCUAUUUGUUAAGUUAGAAACUUCUUGGCUUACCAUGGAAUGAUACAGGUAGUAUUACCGUGGAUGUAAUGCUUAUAUAUUCUGCUCUCCAUUCUUUUCCAUCCUGCUCUGUGCCCUAGGGUUUUGGCUUCUAUGGACUGCUGUCGAUGGGCUUUUCUGCCUUCUAACUCUGUCUGGGUUGGCCAGUGGGAGGCACUGGCAGUUGGAGAGCUGGGGUAGAGUGAGAUCAAGGUAUUUAUUCCUCUGGUUCCAUCUCUGUGGGUUUGCAGAGCUGGCUGUGUCUCUCCUGGAAGGUAUAGUUCCUGAUAAGCAACCCUCUCCAUACGGCUCUAGUUUAUAGUCACCGCUCCCUCCUCAUGACCUUCAAAUCUGGGGGUGAUAAUGGCUCCCCUCUUGCUGGUCCUGGUGCGCUACACUAUUCCUUCCUGGUUUUCUUCACCUCUGCUCAGACUAGUGAAAACAGUCUUUUUAUUAAACUUUCUUUGAUUACUUACCAGAAUGUUCCAUCUGUUUCUAUCAAGAGCCUAAGACAAAAAUAUAAUCCAACUUCGGUAAAAAUCUGUCCAUCUGUAAUCCAAUAAGGGAAGUCUGGAAAGAUGUCCAUGGAAGCAUCGUUGUCUCAGUGUGGUGAGAUUUUUUCUUCUUUAGGUUUUCCUGGAAAUUUUAAACUUUUCUACAAUAAGCGGGCAUUGUCUUUGAUUCAAGGAAAACAAACAAGCAAAUAAAACAGUUGUAAAGGUCAGGUGACAGCAGGACAUGAGAAGUGCUUUGUAUAUUGGGAACUGCUGCUCAAACUUGAGGUCCUAAUGAGUGAGCCAACUGGUGAAGGAUUUCUAGGAUAUUUGUAUUGAGACCCGAUUUCCUCAAAGGAGACUGAUUUCCCUCUCCAGCGAAGGACUCAGAUGUAAAUGGACCAGCCCUACAUCUGGGGCUCUCUUCAUUCUGGAGCAUCUCAGCAAACAGCCAAGCUCAGAGCAGCUCUUCUCUGCUCCCUCUGCCCUCCAGUCAGCCACCCACCAGCCUCUCC
This is a long non-coding RNA of Manis javanica (Malayan pangolin), 7429 nucleotides long. RefSeq lists it as uncharacterized. NCBI's taxonomy places the organism in Eukaryota, Metazoa, Chordata, Mammalia, Pholidota, Manidae. The record is from RefSeq and is a predicted model, not a curated record.